UACGUAGGGUGCAAGCGUUGUCCGGAAUUAUUGGGCGUAAAGAGCUCGUAGGCGGUCUGUCGCGUCUGCUGUGAAAACCUAGGGCUUAACUCUGGGCGUGCAGUGGGUACGGGCAGGCUAGAGUGCGGUAGGGGAGACGUGGAAUUCCUGGUGUAGCGGUGAAAUGCGCAGAUAUCAGGAGGAACACCGGUGGCGAAGGCGGGUCUCUGGGCCGGUACUGACGCUGAGACGCGAAAGCGUGGGGAGCGAACAGG
Molecule: ribosomal RNA, 254 nt
Filed under: uncultured bacterium
Lineage: Bacteria
Description: partial 16S ribosomal RNA
Rfam family: Bacterial small subunit ribosomal RNA
Source: RNAcentral